AGUGAACGCUGGCGGUAGGCCUAACACAUGCAAGUCGAACGGCAGCACAGUAAGAGCUUGCUCUUACGGGUGGCGAGUGGCGGACGGGUGAGGCAUACAUCGGAAUCUACUUUUUCGUGGGGGAUAACGUAGGGAAACUUACGCUAAUACCGCAUACGACCUACGGGUGAAAGCAGGGGAUCUUCGGACCUUGCGCGAUUGAAUGAGCCGAUGUCGGAUUAGCUAGUUGGCGGGGUAAAGGCCCACCAAGGCGACGAUCCGUAGCUGGUCUGAGAGGAUGAUCAGCCACACUGGAACUGAGACACGGUCCAGACUCCUACGGGAGGCAGCAGUGGGGAAUAUUGGACAAUGGGCGCAAGCCUGAUCCAGCUAUACCGCGUGGGUGAAGAAGGCCUUCGGGUUGUAAAGCCCUUUUGUUGGGAAAGAAAAGCAGCAGGUUAAUACCCCGCUGUUCUGACGGUACCCAAAGAAUAAGCACCGGCUAACUUCGUG
Molecule: ribosomal RNA, 492 nt
Filed under: uncultured bacterium
Lineage: Bacteria
Description: partial 16S ribosomal RNA
Rfam family: Bacterial small subunit ribosomal RNA
Source: RNAcentral